GCGUCACGUCAGGGGAGUCCCGCCCGAGGGACUGAGAGGCUGAUUGGUGACGCGAGUCACGGUGCAGCGACCCUUUGAACCUGACCCAGUUGAUACUGGCGUAGGAAGACCGAAGGGCAUCCGC
This 124-nucleotide non-coding RNA is filed under the name Paracoccus saliphilus. RNAcentral describes it as "TPP sequence". It matches the Rfam family "TPP riboswitch aptamer (THI element)". From Rfam's summary of the family: Vitamin B(1) in its active form thiamin pyrophosphate (TPP) is an essential coenzyme that is synthesised by coupling of pyrimidine and thiazole moieties in bacteria. The previously detected thiamin-regulatory element, thi box was extended, resulting in a new, highly conserved RNA secondary structure, the THI element, which is widely distributed in eubacteria and also occurs in some archaea. The record is from RNAcentral. Lineage: Bacteria; Pseudomonadati; Pseudomonadota; Alphaproteobacteria; Rhodobacterales; Paracoccaceae.